CCUACGGGUGGCAGCAGUGGGGAAUAUUGCGCAAUGGGGGAAACCCUGACGCAGCAACGCCGCGUGCGGGAUGAAGGCUUUCGGGUUGUAAACCGCUUUCAGCAGGGAAGAUAAUGACGGUACCUGCAGAAGAAGCCCCGGCUAACUACGUGCCAGCAGCCGCGGUAAUACGUAGGGGGCAAGCGUUAUCCGGAUUCAUUGGGCGUAAAGCGCGCGCAGGCGGGCCGCUAAGCGGGACCUCUAAUCUUGGGGCUCAACCUCAAGCCGGGUCCCGAACUGGCAGCCUUGAGUUCACAACAGGCAGGCGGAAUUCGUGGUGUAGCGGUGAAAUGCAUAGAUAUCACGAGGAACCCCGAGUGCGAAGGCAGCCUGCCGGGGUGCGACUGACGCUGAGGCUCGAAGGUGCGGGUAUCAAACAGGAUUAGAUACCCGUGUAGUC
Molecule: ribosomal RNA, 439 nt
Filed under: uncultured bacterium
Lineage: Bacteria
Description: partial 16S ribosomal RNA
Rfam family: Bacterial small subunit ribosomal RNA
Source: RNAcentral